UGGCAGAAGAAUCCCUUUCAGGUCUAGGGCACAAAGAAGAUAACGAGGAGAAAAAAUGUACCCAUCCUGCCAGACAGGCAGCAAGAGCACUCCAAGGCUGGGAUAAGCUGAAGACAAAAGAAGAACACCCUCAAAAACAGGAUCAGUAUGGAAAAACCCCAAAGCACUGAAACAAAGGAUGCUAAACCCUGUAAAAGAAGACUUCAGAAAUGCCAAGUUGGAUGAAGUUUGAGACUGCUGA
Molecule: long non-coding RNA, 241 nt
Organism: Gavialis gangeticus (Gharial)
Lineage: Eukaryota; Metazoa; Chordata; Crocodylia; Gavialidae
Exons: 3
Source: RefSeq, a predicted model, not a curated record